UGUUUUUUAAAAAUCUACUAUUACACCUUUAAACCCUGGAAUUGAGUGCUCGUGCGCCUCAGUGUGUGUGUAUGUAUGUAUGUGUGUGUGUGUGCGCGCGCCCGCCCGAGUGUCGUCACGCGCUUUAACCCGGACGUGAAGCAGCUCAACAGAAAAAAAAAUCCGAUACGGUCGAAGAAAAGAUUUAAAAAAGGUAAGUUUGAAAAGGAAAAGAUGACGUUAAAGACGACGCGCUUGACGGUUUGGUAUAGGUUGUGUUUCUAGUCCUGGGUAUGAGCGGAGGACAGAUGUGUGUAAGGAGAGACUUUGUGUUUAUGAGCUGGAUAACUCUGUAGCUGCAUGUUAGCCAGCUCUGCCAACUGUAUUGUGUUUCUUAUAUAACGAGUGAGCAGCGAGUUGUUUUAUUAAACUAUUAACUUUGCUAUCAUUUGCAUGCGAACCCACAGACAGUAACUCUUGCCUCGUAUUGAAGACUGUCCGCAUCUGAGUAGCCGGCUAGCUGAUGCUAAGUGAGUGGAACUUGCUAGCAUUUUUUGUUUGUGUUUUGACUGAAGCUUUAGCAUGUAUGCACCUCGCGUGCAUUCCAUAUUGCUGGGGUUUAAAAACCACAAUAAAUUAGUCUAAGCUCAGAGUUAGAACAAGUUAACGUGUUGGUUAUACAUCUCUAACGGUUGUUGAACGAAUUAGCAAGCAAGUUAUAUGUAUAUAUUUUUUGUUUGGAGGCCUGGACGUCAGUGAGGUGCCAUUGCCAAAUAAAGCACCGUAUUACUGUGUAGCUGGAAUUACAGCACCGCGCAUGCGCACAGACCCGACUUUAUAUCCUGCUAAAUAACGAGAUGUUUUUUUUUCUUUGGUAUGCGCAGUGCAGGGCUGCUCGCUGCCAGAAAAGGAGCUACAGUGCGAUUUGGGACGGCGGGUUAAAUCAGUGCUGCAUUGCAGAAAUGAAGGUCCAUCUAAUAGAUAUUAAAUGGACCAAGCCAUAAAGUGGGGAAAGAGAGAUAACAGACAGGCAGAGAUUAAAGUAAUGAGGGAGGUUGAUAGUUUUUGUGUUGUAUGCGCUCUGGAUAUUUUACUUCACAACUGUAACUGUUCAAAUCCCAACACACACACUUACCUGUCACACCUGUUUGUACCAUGCUCCCCUCAUGCCUUAAUUUAACCUACCUAAGCAACCUGAUUGUGUCUGUGUGUGUUUGCUUUGAAUGUUAAGGUAAUAUAACCAUCAGGGUGGUUAUCUUUAUACUUUACUUUGGUGCUGGUGCAGUUUCAUUUAUCUGGGUUAAUAUUAAAGUGCACCUAUUAUGGUUUUGAAACAUGCCUAAUUUUAUUGUAAAGGUCUCAUACAAUGAAUUUACAUGCAUCCAAGGUAAAAAGAUACUUUAAUGUGCUCAUAAUUUAAAUUGCAGGAUUACAAACGACUCGUUAAGUGAUUUGUUCUAAAGGAUUCGUUCUCAAUUCCUCCUUUCAGAGAGUAUACUCUGCUCUGAUUGGUCAGAUGUCCCAGUCUGUUGUGAUUGGUCUACCUUUGUCAGCGUGUGUCGGAAAGGAAACGUCCACUACCGUAACGUGUUUCAGCUCUGUCUGUUCACGAGCAGUCGAUGAAGACCAGAGGCGGGGUUUUUUUGUUACAAACCUACGUAGUUUUGUGCAGGAAGUAAGUCUGGAAUUACUAACGACGUGUUUCAGCUGUUCAGAAACGGUUCCUUCUUUUGGGAGUCAAUACCCCUUUUUGUCGUACACUUUGAUUUUUUUGAAACUUGGCAGACGUUUUUACGUUCACAAACAGCUACGUAUAUAACACGCUACCUGAACGGUAAUAUUUGAAAAGCAUAAUAGGUGCACUUUAUCACUUGUGCAAGCAAAGUCAGUCGUCUUCUGAGCAGCACAGCUAUGUAACUUUCAGUAGUGUGGUAUGAGAUCAUUUUUGCACAGGUUAGUCCAGUGGUUCUCGAAGUGGUGUCCGUGAAGCAUAGCCAGGUGGUGGAAAUCACAACCCGCAUUAUCCCGCAUUAGAGUUAUUAUAUCUCGGAGUCCAAACGCCAAACUCAACUCGGACCUGAUAGUUCUACCGGCGUACGUUCAUGAAUAGAACGCGCUGUUAAUGUUUAUGAAACAAAUCCAUACCGAGGGGGUCCGUGGAAUUUAUUUUACAGUAUAAGGGGUCUCUAGUUGCAAAAAGCGUGAGAACCGCCGGACUAGUCUUCUAAUAUAUUCACUAGUAGCUACUGUGAGAAUGUCGACUAGAUGGAUGGUUGAAAAAACAGUGAGGCGGGAUGUAAAGAAAGCAGAUGAAUCUACCUUGUUAGUCUGAAAAUAUUUCAGACUAGAUGAAACCAAUUCUACAUUUCAUUACAAUUAUUCUACAAUUCAACUAUGCUGGGGAAAUUUCCUUUGCUGAAAUAGACCAUGAACUCUUGAGUGGCGGCGCGUGUGAGUAGGCGCUCGUAGGCCUUCCGUGAUAAUUACGUUAUCGUCUUAUUGUACGAUAUAUGCACGUAAGCAUAGAUGUUUUAUAUGUAUAGAUUUAUAUAACCGCGAUCUUGCCUGUUGUGUUUACAUGAGGGUUUGUUUACAUAAGAGUGAACGUCACUAAAAUUUUAGCCAUUUGCACUGCUUCUGUCCUCUCGUCUGCUCUAGGGCUGUCCAAUUAUAAUUCAAGCUUUGAAUAUUCAAAAUGCACAUUCAAAUGCAACAACAGUGCAUGUGAAUGUAAGAUGUGUAGCAAGCACUUGCACUGAUUUUACGUAAAACAUGCUGUUGGAAAAAAAAGUGUCACCUAAGAUAUUAACAAUGCACUCACAAUGCUUUUUGAAGAAGAAACAUCUAGAAAGAGCAGUUCUAGCGUUUCGUGUAAUCCGGUCGUAGUCAAUAAUGUCGGGGACCGAGCCGCUUAAGCUGCGUGACCUGAAGCUGAACGGUGAGUGAAUAGCUGUAAAUCGAAGCGGUUAAGAAGACGUUGGACUACUGAUCAGAAGGUCGUGAGUUCAAAUCCCAGCACCACUAAGCGGUCACUGCUGGACCGUUGAGCAAGGCGCUUAACCCUCAACUGCUCAGUUGUAUAAAUGAGAGUAAGUCGCUGUGAAUAAGGGCGCCUGCCAAACGCCGAAAAUGUAAACGACAAGCAGGCAUUUGAGCCUCUUUGAAACAGUGCCUAUUAAUAAAGGUGAUACACUCUUAUCAAAUGGCACACAGACUUGACAUUUUGUAGUAAUUAUCACAUUUUAAAUUAACAAAAAAACAGAUCAGUCACAUGGAAGAGUAAGUACACCCCUACGUUUAUCACAGCUUCAGAUACAUAAAAUUAAAAUCAGGUGUUCAAGAUUGGCUGUCAGUGAUCAGAACCUGCCGGAGCAGUGCAGGUGGAACCUGUCGUAUUAUACCCCUCUCAUAUCUAGUGUCUGGUCUUCCCUUCGCUCUUAAAGGGUGUGGUGACAUCAUGCCAAGAUCCAAAGGGUUCUGUAAGGUCAAGUGAUCCAACUCCGCAUCAUAUCAAAGAGCGCUUGAAUAUAAUGCGAGGCCAAGUUGAACCGAAAGUGGACCUUUAAACAGUAUAACGAUCCCCGAUUUGAAUCCCAUCGAAAUGUUGUGGGUUGAUUUGAAACGGGCAAUACAUGCAAGUAAACCCUCAAACAUGUUGCAACUGAAAUAAUAUUGCAUGGAAGAGUGGUCAGCAAUUCCAGCAAUUCUCGUGGACGAUUAUGAAAAAUGUCUACAAGAAGUUAUUUCUGCUAAAGGGGGCAAUACGAGCUUCUGAGGCCAAGGGAGUACUUAUUUUUUCCACAGAGGAUCAUCACCUCAAUUUUUUUGUUAAAGUAUAUCAACUUUAUUAUUAGGCACUGUUUCAAAGAUGAUCAAAUGUUUGCUUGUCCAAAUAUGUAUUAAAAAAAACACCAACAAUUUCCUUGGGGUGUACUUAUCCCCCACCCACAUAGAAAAUACAUACACAAUCAAAUACAAUGUCGUUUAUGGCAAUUAUUUCUGGGACACUAUAGCGUCCAACAAGUGGUACUGUGACAGGCUUACCUGAAACCCCUUUUUUUGCUUUAACUGAAAGAUCGGCGUUACAGGUUGAAAAAAGUUGUGCAGGCCCUAGUUUCUUCUGUCACAUGAGCAUUUUGUUGAUUGUACAUGCAGAAUGAAUACAUCUCGGUAACUUCAGGCCGGCAAUAUGACAAUAUCAAAUCAUGAAACUUUAAGAUAUUUUACUUGACCCAGUAUAUUUAGCUAUGUCUUAAUCCCAUUUGUGUUUACUUCGAGUAGGACUUUAGUCGGAUUAAGGUCCUCAAUAAUCGCUGUUUACAUGCUAGUUUCUUAAUCAGAGUGUCAUCUUAAUCAGGUUAAUAUCGGAUUAUUGUUGUUCAUGUAAAUGUACUGUCGGUUAUAAAUAUACUUAACUUAUUCUAACUAAUACUAAAUCCUGUGACGUUUUAUUGAUGAUCCAUUGCUAAAUUUGAACGUGUAAAAAAAUAAAAUAAAAAAAUGUUAGUUACUAAGCUAGCGUAAGAUAACAGACCGCUUUUGAACUUUUUUGUGUUAUAGUGUGUUGUGUUAUUGCACGGAAGGUCUGUACAUUUGUGUCUAAGUGUACUGGGAUGAAAUAGAUCACAGUAGCAGUGUUGCGCAGUCCUAUCGCUCAGCCCUGGUUGGUAUUUUGAGGUAGCGUCGUAUAUCCUGAUGCGCUUCAGUCAUGUUUCUGUAUUACAGAAUAGGCAGUAAUAAAAAUAAGGCAGUGAAGUUUUAUUUACUGCGUGAACUCCGCUCGGGUAAGUAUACAGCCUAAUAAAACAAGCCUGGACCAAUCUUUGCUGAUAUUAAAUGUUGAGAUAUUGCGACCCAGUACAAAUAUUUUAACACGCGAAUAUCCAGCAGCCGUUGUUGCGUUACCGUAGCAACGAUUCCUGGGUCUGACGUAACACCUCAUCGACUGGUUCCUCCACCAGAAGUUUGAAGGAGUUGAUGGACUUAAUUUCAUCCAGUCUUUUUAAUCUUUUGCUUGAUGAACAUGGCAGGUGGAAUUAAAGCGUGCUACAGGGAUCAUACUCUGAGAAAUAACUUCAGGUGAGAGCAGAAGUGCACAGCGUCGUACCGCAGCACCUCCUGGCUCUCCGUUAAAUCGGUGUAACCAGUUCUUCAUUCCGUUCCUUCACUUUUACUUCAACUUGGUGUCAUUCUGGAUUAUGUCUAAUAAUGUUUAAGUGAAUUAGUCUUAACAAACCUACUUCAGAGCAGAUGGAAGCCAGGAGUGAGGGACCGCUGCAAAAAAGGAGGAGUGCUGUACAUUAGUGUUAUUUAGUUUGUGUGUUUUUUUUUUUGUUUUUUGUUUUUUUGUUU
Long non-coding RNA from Ictalurus punctatus (channel catfish), 5331 nucleotides. The record is from Ensembl. NCBI's taxonomy places the organism in Eukaryota, Metazoa, Chordata, Actinopteri, Siluriformes, Ictaluridae.